Molecule: ribosomal RNA, 464 nt
Filed under: Vreelandella stevensii
Lineage: Bacteria; Pseudomonadati; Pseudomonadota; Gammaproteobacteria; Oceanospirillales; Halomonadaceae
Description: partial 16S ribosomal RNA
Rfam family: Bacterial small subunit ribosomal RNA
Source: RNAcentral
CCUACGGGCGCCGCAGUGGGGAAUAUUGGACAAUGGGCGAAAGCCUGAUCCAGCCAUGCCGCGUGUGUGAAGAAGGCCUUCGGGUUGUAAAGCACUUUCAGUGGGGAAGAAAGCCUUGGGGCUAAUACCCUCGAGGAAGGACAUCACCCACAGAAGAAGCACCGGCUAACUCCGUGCCAGCAGCCGCGGUAAUACGGAGGGUGCGAGCGUUAAUCGGAAUUACUGGGCGUAAAGCGCGCGUAGGCGGUCUGAUAAGCCGGUUGUGAAAGCCCCGGGCUCAACCUGGGAACGGCAUCCGGAACUGUCAGGCUAGAGUGCAGGAGAGGAAGGUAGAAUUCCCGGUGUAGCGGUGAAAUGCGUAGAGAUCGGGAGGAAUACCAGUGGCGAAGGCGGCCUACUGGACUGACACUGACGCUGAGGUGCGAAAGCGUGGGUAGCAAACAGGAUUAGAUACCCGGGUAGUC